Molecule: unclassified non-coding RNA, 258 nt
Filed under: fungal sp.
Lineage: Eukaryota; Fungi
Description: partial internal transcribed spacer region
Rfam family: Eukaryotic small subunit ribosomal RNA (bases 1-45)
Source: RNAcentral
AGUCGUAACAAGGUAUCCGUAGGUGAACCUGCGGAUGGAUCAUUAUAGGGUGUUGGGUAAUUGUGAGUGGUUUUAUUAUUAGUAGUUUGAGCGGUGUUGGUUGGGAUGCGAAGCAGGAUUGCGAAGCAGGAUUGCCAAGCAGGAUUGCCAAGCAGGAUUGCCAAGCAAGACAGCCAACAUUGCCUCACGUUAAACUCUAUAAAUCUAACAAUUACAUACAAAAAAAAACAACUUUUAGCAACGGAUCUCUUGGCUCUC